GAUGAACGCUGGCGGCGUGCCUAAUACAUGCAAGUCGAGCGAACAGGCGAGGAGCUUGCUCCUCUGACGUUAGCGGCGGACGGGUGAGUAACACGUGGAUAACCUACCUAUAAGACUGGGAUAACUUCGGGAAACCGGAGCUAAUACCGGAUAAUAUAUUGAACCGCAUGGUUCAAUAGUGAAAGACGGUUUUGCUGUCACUUAUAGAUGGAUCCGCGCCGCAUUAGCUAGUUGGUAAGGUAACGGCUUACCAAGGCAACGAUGCGUAGCCGACCUGAGAGGGUGAUCGGCCACACUGGAACUGAGACACGGUCCAGACUACUACGGGAGGCAGCAGUAGGGAAUCGUCCGCAAUGGGCGAAAGCCUGACGGAGCAACGCCGCGUGAGUGAUGAAGGUCUUCGGAUCGUAAAACUCUGUUAUUAGGGAAGAACAAAUGUGUAAGUAACUAUGCACGUCUUGACGGUACCUAAUCAGAAAGCCACGGCUAACUACGUG
Molecule: ribosomal RNA, 497 nt
Filed under: uncultured bacterium
Lineage: Bacteria
Description: partial 16S ribosomal RNA
Rfam family: Bacterial small subunit ribosomal RNA
Source: RNAcentral